This 1912-nucleotide long non-coding RNA is filed under the name Struthio camelus australis. Its description in RNAcentral is "lncRNA (ENSSCUG00000008129.1)". The record is from RNAcentral. Lineage: Eukaryota; Metazoa; Chordata; Aves; Struthioniformes; Struthionidae.
GAGCCGUUACACUCUCCGAGAGGCGGGGGGAAAGCCGGGGGAAGAUAGCUGGGAGAACGUGGGAGCAGGCGCGGUGGCGAACGGCUUAAAACAGCUGAAGGAAUAGGUAACAGAAAGUAAAGUAAAUACAGGUGGGGUUUUUUGUUUGUUUGUUUUUGCCUUUUUUUUUUUUUUAACCUCAGGAUCGUCUGAAAUAAUGCAAGUGUGAAUGUAUACCGCUAUCAUACUAAAUAUUUGGCUUUUCAGUAUGCCAUGGAUCACUUUUUAAAAAGAAGAAAAAGAAAAUUUUGAAGUGAACUCGACCAAAGUUACUCUCAGCAUAGCAUUUAACACAUAUUCCCUUGCCAAGUUGUGUUUCAAGUCUUCCAAUCAAGUCAUCUAUAUUCAAUUACCUGAUAAGGGAGUUCUUCCAGUUUUUGCCGGUGUCAAUUGCAUAGUAGUGCUCUGUUUCACUCUAAAAGCACAGCCCUAUCUGAAAUUCACUGCAUCUGAUGAAAGUCCUUCCACUAGCCUCAGAAGGCCUUACCUGAGGCUCAUAAUCUAUGCAUUAACUCAGCUGCAAACAUCUGAGGUAGCUUAUCUAAAGAAAAAGGAUUUCGAAGUCCUUCUUGAAGUGUCGUCUGGGUUUCAUCAUCUCCCUGAUAAUAUCUGCUUCUAGACUUCCAUUGUUUGAGCGACUGCAUAAUCCUACUAGAUGGAACAGACGUGACAUGAAGAUUAGCAGCCACAAGGAGGUGGAGUUAAGAAGUAACAGCUGUGUAGAGUUCUGCAAAAACCCCAGAAGAAAAGCAGACAUGAAGGAGCUGUCCCACAACAAGUUCAGCCAAAUCAUGCAGCAAGCAGAGGGAAUAUUACAGUGUCUCAAAAAGCCUUGACCACAACUGCUGCUUAAAAACAACCUCCAAGAGGAAGAAGGUGAUGGCAACCCCCUCCUGCCCUUUGAGGCUCUAUUGGCAGGAACAACUACAGCCGGAUGCAAAAGAACAAGGAGCUGGAUUGAUCCUUCUGUUCUGGCAAGCUGAAUGCCAAGAGAGGGUCUUCAAGAGGGGGAGAAAUGGUUCUUGCCCUGCACCAAGCAACAGACGUCAAGAGCAAGAAGAUCUUUCCUCUCUUUCCUAUCUAGACUACAUGCCAUCGCCACUUCAUCACAUACCCUUAUCAGUUUGCGUACAUCAGUGGACAAACGUAGUCCUUUUCACAAGGCUGUCAUCUGGUCUUCCGUUUUCACUAUAAUUAAUCACAGAUGCAAUGGUGCUACCUGACAGAGCAGAUUUUUUUUUUUAAUUAGAGAGCAUGAACUAUAAAUAGUACUCAAGAAAACACUACCAACACAUAGCUAUAGCUCUGUUAAUGAUCUUUAACUAUAUUAUGCACAGCUGUGAUACUGAAAAAGAGACAAAAGGAAAAUUGGCCUUAAAAGGGAGUCACUCUAACUACAAUGAAGACUAGAAACUGUCAGUAUCUCAGCAUUGGAAUAACCUUGAAUAGCCUUGAACAGCCUUGAGCAACCCUUAAACAGCCCAAGCCAGGCAUAGGGUUAAGGUUAAAGGUAGGGUUACUGUAACAUUAAGGGUUGGGAGUGUCAGGACAAAGCCUAAAGCUCCACUUGGUCAGGGGCUGCCAAGUAGCUGCCAAGGCAACACGUACACUGAAAAAAAGAUUUAUCCCCUAACAACUUUUUCAGUGGAUGCAGGUCUUUGGCUAUAGAUAAGCUGAAGUAAGAUUCUGGGAUAGGGUGAGGGGAAGAACAAAGCCUAGAGCUCCAGUUAGCAUGGGACUGCCAAGAGGCUGCCAGAGGAAGGAGCAGGCAGCAAAAAGAUUUCUUCUCUGGCUCUAAUUUGAAUACAGCAGGAAAUUCAAAGAGCACUUAAGGUUAAAUAAAUUCUUCCUGGAAGAAAAAUAGGGAUUAAAG